RNAcentral lists this ribosomal RNA (457 nucleotides) under uncultured bacterium. Its description in RNAcentral is "bacterial SSU rRNA". It matches the Rfam family "Bacterial small subunit ribosomal RNA", at positions 28 to 507 of the family's 1533-position model. The record is from RNAcentral.
AACGAACGCUGGCGGCAGGCCUAACACAUGCAAGUCGAGGGGGAAGCCACUUUCGGGUGGUGGAGACCGGCGCACGGGUGAGUAACGCGCGGGCACCUGCCCUCGGGGUGGGGGAUAACCGCUGGAAACGGCGGCUAAUACCGCAUACGCCCUAUUUCGUAGAGGAGAUGGGGGAAAGAUUUAUUGCCCUGGGAUGGGCCCGCGUUGGAUUAGCUUGUUGGUGGGUAAAGGCCUACCAAGGCGACGAUCCAUAGCUGGUCUGAGAGGAUGAUCAGCCACACUGGGACUGAGACACGGCCCAGACUCCUACGGGAGGCAGCAGUGGGGAAUAUUGGACAAUGGGGGCAACCCUGAUCCAGCCAUGCCGCGUGCGUGAAGAAGGCUUUAGGGUUGUAAAGCGCUUUCACCGGUGACGAUGAUGACGGUAGCCGGAGAAGAAGCCCCGGCUAACUCCGUG